CCUACGGGAGGCUGCAGUGGGGAAUAUUGCACAAUGGGGGAAACCCUGAUGCAGCGACGCCGCGUGAGUGAAGAAGUAUUUCGGUACGUAAAGCUCUAUCAGCAGGGAAGAAAAUGACGGUACCUGACUAAGAAGCCCCGGCUAACUACGUGCCAGCAGCCGCGGUAAUACGGAAGGUCCGGGCGUUAUCCGGAUUUAUUGGGUUUAAAGGGAGCGUAGGCCGCAUGUCAAGCGUGCUGUGAAAUGUCCGGGCUCAACCCCGUACUGCCGUUGAAACUGCAUCCCUUGAGUGCGCGAGAAGUAUGCGGAAUGCGUGGUGUAGCGGUGAAAUGCAUAGAUAUCACGCAGAACUCCGAUUGCGAAGGCAGCAUACCGGCGCGCAACUGACGCUCAUGCACGAAAGCGUGGGUAUCGAACAGGAUUAGAUACCCGGGUAGUC
This 439-nucleotide ribosomal RNA is filed under the name uncultured bacterium. RNAcentral describes it as "partial 16S ribosomal RNA". It matches the Rfam family "Bacterial small subunit ribosomal RNA", at positions 338 to 795 of the family's 1533-position model. The record is from RNAcentral.